UGAUGAAUGAAUAAACUUCAAAAAAUUAAAAAAAAAAAUUAAGAGAUAAACUUAAAUAGACCUUUGUACUUGGGAUCUAUAAAGUGACUGAGUCUUUUUGCCUUUUUACCUUUCAUGGACCACCAAAGAACCUCCCCCUCGGUCCCCAAAGUUACCACAUGGACACCAUCUACAGGUUCUGAUGGGACAGGAAGAGAGGGGAAAAUCUGUCUGCUCCCUGACCCCAUGAAACUCCUGGGUUCAUCUCUAGGCUCUGGUGGAGGAAGGGGGAACUGGCCUCAUUAGCCUUUUCUUGACCUCUGAUUCCUCCUUUCUCUGUUCCUGCCCCGUCCCACAGGGGCUGGUCUGAAAUGUCAUAAAAUCAUGCUUUUUAGCAGGAGUCGCAAUCUGGAGGUCAACUGGACCAGCCAUCCUUGUGUCUGCUGUCUACGCAUUUAGAUUAUCCUUCUACAUAUCUGAGUGCUCAGGAAAUGCAAAUGGCUUGUGAGGAAAUCUCUGGGGUCAGACAUGAGGAUGAAAUCCUUUCUCUAUCAUCUUGAUAGGAUUGCUGUUUGGAUAACUCAAAGAGGUGUAUAAGGACUGAUCCUGAAAGGCUGAAGAACCCAACCUGGUCUCCUAGCAAUGUAGUACCUGAGCUGAACUCCAUCACCUGAAUGGGGUCAGAGGAACUACUGGCUGCAUAGACAUUCAUUCUUUUGGAACCUCAUGUCCAUUGAGAUGUUUGUUUUCCCCAAAUUAAACUGCAGGCCUUGA
Molecule: long non-coding RNA, 753 nt
Organism: Felis catus (domestic cat)
Lineage: Eukaryota; Metazoa; Chordata; Mammalia; Carnivora; Felidae
Exons: 2
Source: RefSeq, a predicted model, not a curated record